Molecule: ribosomal RNA, 349 nt
Filed under: uncultured prokaryote
Description: partial 16S ribosomal RNA
Source: RNAcentral
CCCUAUGGGGUGCAGCAGGGCGGGGGCGUUCAUGAUGCAGCAGCCGGACAAAACCCGAUUAUGCGCGGGGGCGCGUCAUGCGGCUCCUGCCACGGGCAGGAGGGGGCCGGUAGAAUCAGCCGCAAGCCACAUCGGAGAAACAAACAGGGUGCGCUGCGCCGGACGACCGUCUGGAUGGCCGCCCGCAGCAGCAUUUAUGACUGAAUUGCGUCUGAUUUAUGCCCGCGCGCGCAACGGCGUUAUUGGCCGCGAUGGGCGCAUGCCGUGGCACCUUCCGGAAGACCUGGCGCAUUUCAAGCGCGCCACGCUGGGCAGUCCGGUCAUCAUGGGCCGCAAGACGUGGGAGAGC